AUUGAACGCUGGCGGGAGGCUUAACACAUGCAAGUCGAGCGAGCGGCGGACGGGUGAGUAAUGUAUGGGAACGUGCCCGAUGGAGGGGGAUAACUACUGGAAACGGUAGCUAAUACCGCAUACCAUGGGAUGGGCGCAGAUGGGAUUAGCUGGUAGGGGGGGUAAUGGCUCACCACGGCGACGAUCCCUAGCUGGUCUGAGAGGAUGACCAGCCACACUGGAACUGAGACACGGUCCAGACUCCUACGGGAGGCAGCAGUGGGGAAUAUUGCACAAUGGGCGCAAGCCUGAUGCAGCCAUGCCGCGUGUGUGAAGAAGGCCUUCGGGUUGUAAAGCACUUUCGGCGAGGAGGCGUUACUCGCAGAAGAAGCACCGGCUAACUCCGUGCCAGCAGCCGCGGUAAUUC
This 406-nucleotide ribosomal RNA is filed under the name uncultured bacterium. RNAcentral's name for it is "partial 16S ribosomal RNA". It matches the Rfam family "Bacterial small subunit ribosomal RNA", at positions 29 to 526 of the family's 1533-position model. The record is from RNAcentral.